AACGAACGCUGGCGGCAUGCCUAACACAUGCAAGUCGAACGAGACCUUCGGGUCUAGUGGCGCACGGGUGCGUAACGCGUGGGAACCUGCCCUUAGGUUCGGAAUAACUCCCCGAAAGGGGUGCUAAUACCGGAUAAUGUCUUCGGACCAAAGAUUUAUCGCCUUUGGAUGGGGCCGCGUUGGAUUAGCUAGUUGGUAGGGUAAAAGCCUACCAAGGCGACGAUCCAUAGCUGGUCUGAGAGGAUGAUCAGCCACACUGGGACUGAGACACGGCCCAGACUCCUACGGGAGGCAGCAGUGGGGAAUAUUGGACAAUGGGCGAAAGCCUGAUCCAGCAAUGCCGCGUGAGUGAUGAAGGCCUUAGGGUUGUAAAGCUCUUUUACCCGGGAUGAUAAUGACAGUACCGGGAGAAUAAGCACCGGCUAACUCCGUG
RNAcentral lists this ribosomal RNA (433 nucleotides) under uncultured bacterium. Its description in RNAcentral is "partial 16S ribosomal RNA". It matches the Rfam family "Bacterial small subunit ribosomal RNA", at positions 29 to 507 of the family's 1533-position model. The record is from RNAcentral.